RNAcentral lists this long non-coding RNA (933 nucleotides) under Trifolium pratense (red clover). RNAcentral describes it as "long non-coding RNA (TPRA_LNC003407)". Lineage: Eukaryota; Viridiplantae; Streptophyta; Magnoliopsida; Fabales; Fabaceae. The record is from RNAcentral.
AUUGAGGCAAACAAGGUGUUGUAUAUGGAUUAUAGAUAGAUAACUAGCUAUUAUCCGAGCUUUGCUCUUUCAUAGUCUUGUGUCUUCUACAAUCUCUAAAACAUACCUUGCUUUGGCCUAGUUGAUUACCUAGAAAAUGUUAAUGAUGACUUUGAGCUGGUUAAUUUUCAAAGGAAUGAUUUAUAACCAGGCAAUUGAUGAAUAUUAAUAUUGUAUGUGUUUACGUGGAUUAUAGAUAAUGCAACUAGCUACUAUCCUAUCGUUCUUCUUUCAUAGUCUUGUUGCCUCUACAACCUCUAAAACAUACCAUGCUUUGGCCUGGUUGCUUACCUGGAAAUCUUUAAUUUUGACUUUGAGCUUGUUAAUUAUUCAAGGGAUGAUUUAUAACCAAGCAAUUGGUGCAUAUGAAUAUUAUAGUUUUGUAAGUUAUAGAAUUACCACAGAAAUUGUUUCAACUAGUUGAAGUAGUAAAUGACUUAUGAGAGUCUUGGCCUUUACCUGCAUUUGUUUUGAAUGUUGGGGAAACAAUCUUUUCAGAAGAUCUAAGAGCAUUGCCUCAAAGAAUAUUUGUCUCUUUUCUUGAACUUUUUAUUUUUUGGGAAAACCAUCAUAAACUCACACACACAAGUAAGUGAGUAGGGGUUCAAACCCCUUGUUAUGGCAUCCAGCCUAACAAUUUCGGCAUAUUUUUGCCAGUUGAACCAGGACUUGUGCACAUCUCUUUUCCUAGACUUAUAAUGGGGAAAUAAUAUAAUGUUGUUUAAUGCAUGUUAAAUCCUCUAGACUAAUGGUUGAUUUUUUGAAUUGAUUUUGAUUUGUGGAAUCAUCAAAUGCGAGCCAUAUUAAUGAGAUGUGCAGAAAUUGCUAAGAGCUCUCCACAUUGGGAAAUCACAUAGACAAUGGAGUCAGAUGUAUGUGGAGAACAACCAGGCC